This 5059-nucleotide long non-coding RNA is filed under the name Sus scrofa (pig). RNAcentral's name for it is "lncRNA (ENSSSCG00060045227.1)". The record is from RNAcentral. Lineage: Eukaryota; Metazoa; Chordata; Mammalia; Artiodactyla; Suidae.
UCAGAUAUGUUGGUUAACCUGUCUGUUUUUGAGUCCUUAAAUAUCCAAAAAUGUCUUAAUUUUACCCUCGUGUGUAUAAUUGUUUAGCUGGAUUUAGAUUGCUUAGUUGAAGAUUGUUUUCCUUUUAAAAAUUUUAAGACAUUGCUCCCUUAAAAAGAAAAAAAAAAACAAAACACUUUCAAAUACUUUAUGUUGAAGUAUAAGCUCCAGUAAUUUCUAGCUAUACUGUACCAUUCUGAUAUCUACUGCUACUCCUAUAAGCUUUUGGGAUCUUUUCUUCAUUUCUGGAGAUUUGUUCAUUCAUUGUGCCUGGCCCUCCCUGAUCCUUUCAAACUAAGGCUUAGCUCCAUUUGUUUUUUGUUUUUUUGGUUUGUUUGUUGGUUGGGUUUCUUUUUUUUUUAGGGCUGCCCCAUGCUAGGGGUCGAAUUAGAGCUACAGCUCACCACAACACCAGAUCCUUAACCCACUGAGUGAGGCCAGGUUGAAUCCUCGACCUCAUGGUUCCUAGUCAGCUUCAUUUCUGCUCUGCCACAGUGGGAACUCCUCAGCUCAGUUUUCAAAUCUUUUAAAUAAAAAUUUCACUUUAUUUUAAAUUUCCAAGUGCUUUGUUUUUUCCCUCUUUUGGUUUGUGUCUUAUGCUAGUGUCUUUGGCUUUCUUUUCAUGUUUAAGAGUGAGGCACUAAAAUAAAAGCAAAAGUGGGGGAAUGUGUACAUUAGGGUGUGCUUGCUGAUCAUUAAGAUUUACUAUAGGUUGAAGGGUAGUUGGCUUUGAAGGGUGCUGUAGACUGUCAACAUGAGAAGGUCUUGGGGGGCUAUUACAGUUUAUCCAGAGAAUUCUGCAUUAGGGCCAAAGAAGGUGUGGAAGGCUUGUGUAGACUCUCUGGCUCUUGCAUCUGUCUCAGCCAUAUGCGGUGCCUAUUGUCCUUCUCCGCUUUGAUGUUGGUUCACAUUAUCUAGAGACUAGACCUUCCUACAGAAGGUGGGGAAGGUCUGCUCUGAUCUCUUCUUUUGUGCCUUGCCUUGUCCCAAAAGCAUGUGUUACCUCCGAAUGCCAAACCGCUUCUGGGUCUCCAGGGGCUGGUGAACUGACCCUCCUGUUUCCAUUUUAACUUCACUGCCUCUGCCAGCUACUCUGCCUCCAUUAGCAUUCCACAUUCUAAAAAUUUCAUUGACACGUUGUCCACUGCUGUUCCCUCUUUGUCUUUGAUAUCCAAGGUUAGGGUUUUAAUUGUUUUAUCAUCAUUUUAGUGCCUUUGGAGGGGAGGAAAAUUAGUGUCACUUUACUGUGUUAAAUAAAAUCCCCCUUUUGAAAUCCUAAUAGACCUCCAUUUAUUCAGUAACUGUUGAUCAAGGCUCUGUAAGUUUCAAGUUUGAGAGCCAGGUCCUGGGUAUUCAGAAAUACAUGUGAUAUGGCACCUAACUUCUAGGAGCGCAUACGGUAUGUAAUAAAUACUGUGCCAGUAGUGUGACCAAAAUGCUGUUGGCUGUUGGCCCAGGUAGAGCCUGCCCCUGAAAAGACAGAUACAGUCUUGGGGCCUACAAAGUGGCCAGAAUGGUUUGACCCCAGUCCUCAUGCCCUGUCGUGACUCCUAUAACAUAAUGACUGAGCCUCGUGAAUGGGCUGCCUAGAGUGUGAUGGGUGAGAUGGUUAAACAAACAACAGGCUUUAAGACCCGUUAUGGCUUUUCCCAGCUGACUGGGAGGAGAGCAUCUGGUUAUAGCUAUAUAACUUUAAACAUUUUCUAGAAUAGUGGACCCCCUGCUUCCUGGGGCAGAAUGGGGUGGUGGGGGAAGAAGGAAAAAUUCUGGAAACAUAUUUCCUGUUUCUUGGGAGCUAGGCCAAGCUGUCAAACGCUUGUGACUUUGUUCCCACGGAGGUUCUGUUGUCUUUGCCUUGGGCCUGAUUCAUUUUCAGAAGUGGGAGAAGGAUUUAAUCAUGGGAAUCUGACCACCAGUCAGGCUAGGGGUUAACAAGGUCUGGUCUGGUGGUAGGGAGUAUGCUGCCUGCAGCCAGUGCCAUUGAGGCAGGGCCCUAGAGACCACAUUCUGGGCCUUAAGAGCACAGCCUGGAGUGGGUAGUGGUCCCUCAGUUUUGGCUCUGUAAGGACAGUGGCUGUUGCAAGGAAUCAAAGCAUGGUGCACAGUGUGGGGCAAAGGUGGCAAAGCGCUGAGCUGGGCGGGUGUGGGAAGGGCGUUGGCAGUCUGCUGAGCCCAGAGGAUAGACAGUACUGGGAGAGUCAGCUCAGAAUGGGGGUAUUUGAAGUGAAUGAUCCCUCCAGGACACAGAUACAGCAGCCUAGGAAAGGGAUAACGGGGCCUUGGGGAGAAACCAUAGCAGCCAGCAUGGGCAUCAGUCCUGCAGGCAGUCUUCAGAACUUCUUUCUCCAGCUGAAGCCCAGGGGGUUGGGUGUGGAAGGGCAUCUGGCUCUUGAGGUGCUUCCUCACUCUGCAGGGUGGGAUGAAGGCAGAGGACAGCCACGCUUGCAGGGGUCAUCCCAGCUUUUCUCCCACAGCCAGAGCUCCCUACCUCUCUUCAUUCUUCUCCAGGAUGUCUGGUCAGAAACCUAGCCCUUACUUCCAGGCAGACUUCUCUCCCGAGCUUGAUUAGGUCAGAAAUGACAGGCCUCUGGAUUGCGCCACCUCAGUGACAUCUUUGGGAGCCCAGGUCUGUCUUCUUGUUCUAAUCUUCUGGUUUCUCCACCACCAGAUCACACCUCCUAAUCUUUCAAUGUCACAAGUGCCCAAUACUCCCGGCUGUCCCCAGGCUUAUUCUGAACUGCAGACGCUGUCCCCCAGUGAGCGGCAGUGUGUGGAGACAGUGGUCAACAUGGGCUACUCGUAUGAGUGUGUCCUGAGAGCCAUGAAGAAGAAAGGAGAGAAUAUCGAGCAGGUGAGUGAUUGGUCAGUGGCGGAGGUGUGCAUGGGGGGUCAUCCCCCCAUCUCUGGAGCUGGAGUGGGGGCCAGCCUCUGUCCUAGAGUUGCUCAGAUUCAAAGCACCAUUGUCCUUAUGUUUGGGGGCACUCGGGCUGCUUUGUUGGGGAAACCAGCAGCCUCAGCACGUCUGCUUUGGGGGCUGCUCUGAGACCCAGGCUGAGGGAAUGCCCUGGGAAUAUUGGAGCUGUUGACAGUUACCCAGUUAAUUCCUUUCUCUGCUUCUCCUGGGAGGGCACACUAGGCUUGAGGUAUGUCAGAUGUCUUCUUCCAGAAAUGUUUAUUCUGUCAGAGUUGCCUAGGGAGUUCCUAAAUUUUGGGGGGCACUUUCUGACUUGGGUGGUUUCUCAGAAGACUUUCCUUUCUGGGCUGUGGACUGACGUCGGCUGGGAGGUGUGAGUCAGCUGUGACAGGAAUGCCUUUGAAAAGUGGCUACUCAUGUUUAGAAGGGCGUGCCUGUCAGCAGGUAGUCACACGGGUCCUGCUGUGUUGGACACAGUUCAAAGUACAAAGUCAAGUCCUCUUUUGAUUCUAAGCCAAGCUGGGGAGCAGAUGUCAUACUUGUUGGUUGUGCAUAAGACUUUUGGGAAGCACAGUCAGGAUGGGCGGUAGAUGCUUAAUUAAGCCUUUUUCUUUUUUCUUUUCAGGGCUGUACCCAUGGCAUAUGGAAGUUCUCAGGCUAGGGGUCGAAUUGGAGCUACAGCUGCCAGUCUACACCACAGCCACAGUAACGCCAGAUCCAGCCACAUCUGUGACCUACACCACAGCUCACAGCAAUGCUGGAUCCUUAACCCACUGAGCGAGCCCAGGGAUUGAACCCACGUCCUCAUGGAUGCUAGUCACAUUCGUUAACCACUGAGCCACAACGGGAACGCCUAAACCUUUUUCUUCCCUUAGAUUCUCGACUAUCUCUUUGCACAUGGACAGCUCUGUGAGAAAGGCUUCGACCCUCUUUUAGUGGAAGAGGCUCUGGAAAUGCAUCAGUGUUCAGAGGAAAAGAUGAUGGAGUUUCUUCAGUUAAUGAGCAAAUUUAAGGAAAUGGGCUUUGAACUGAAAGACAUUAAGGAAGUUCUGCUCCUACACAACAAUGACCAGGACAAUGCUUUGGAAGACCUCAUGGCUCGGGCGGGAGCCAGCUGAGAUAGGCCUUGCCUAGGCCCUGCCACGGAACCACCCCUGCCAGAGGCCCUGAGCAGCCCAUCUGUGGGGAAGGAGAAGGGGUACACUUCUGGAUUUUCUUUUGGGGGUGGAAGGUCAGGUGUGGAGACGGUGCUCGCCAGGUCUCUAUGAGCCGAGGCCCUGAGCUGGGGAGAAAGUGGGAAAGAUUUGGGCAGGCUCAUGUGCCCAGAACUGUCCUGGCUCCUUCCAUAUUAAAUGUAUUUGUAUUUUGAGAAGUGUCCUUCCCACCUUGGCCCUCCAGAGAGACUUCUCUGGUCUUUCUGGGGUCUGUUUGGCCUCAACCGGAACCCACCCCAGCUGCCAGAAGGAGCUGGGGAGAAGGGGUGGGAGGGCCAGACUCAGUGCUGCUUUGGGGCUAGAUGUUUUCCUCCUCUGCAAGGGUGGACUGACCUCUAAUCCAGGUUGAGUGCAAUUGAGAGGUUCUUCCAGGGUUUUGUUUUUUUCCCCCUUCAUGUCACUUAGUGUUACACUGGUUCUGCAAUGUCUCUGAGGUGCAAAGAAUGCCCUUUCCCCUUGGGGCCCUAGUUUGCCUUUUCUGCUAGGCAAUUGCAUUACUUUCCUGCCCCAGCCUGUUUCUUUUGGUCUGGUUGAGACCACAGUCGUUUGCUACCCAGGAUUUUAGAGCCCCCUUGUUCUAGGAACAGUUGUCAUUUUAAGAAAUCAUUGGCCCCUUCCCAGUGCAUCAAGUGGGGAAGAAAAAAACAGGCGGUGAUUUGGUCACUCAGCACUAACUCCACCUCAGUUCUCCCUGGAGAACAGCCUCUCCCUCCAGCCCUUUGCUCUAGGAUGACACAGUAACACCUAGUCAUAGAAAUCCGUCUCUUUGUUUUGUAUUAUGUUGUACAUCAUUAAAGAUCUAAAUACAGAGGAUAUACAGUCUUGAUGAAUCUAAUGUAAUUUGCUAACUAUUUUCAUUCUUCAGAGAGAACUACUAAUAAAAAUCUAAAAG